RNAcentral lists this transfer RNA (60 nucleotides) under Histeridae sp. BMNH 1274329. Its description in RNAcentral is "tRNA-Ser". Lineage: Eukaryota; Metazoa; Arthropoda; Insecta; Coleoptera; Histeridae. The record is from RNAcentral.
GAAAUAUACAUAAAAUAAGCUUCUAACUUACUUUUCUAGCGGAAACCCGUUAAUAUUUCU